Molecule: RNA transcript, 2674 nt
Organism: Quercus robur (English oak)
Lineage: Eukaryota; Viridiplantae; Streptophyta; Magnoliopsida; Fagales; Fagaceae
Gene name: UPF0496 protein At4g34320-like
Exons: 3
Source: RefSeq, a predicted model, not a curated record
CAUAUUUUUUAAAAUCAGAGACAAAGAAUUUUCAACAAAAGUCACGCGUGGUUGAAAACUUGGAAACUCUGGGAAAAACACACCGUUCAAAACAGCAACUUUAUUCUAGUUAGGUAGUGUUCACUCUUCAAUCUUCAUCACCAUUUUUCCUGUGACUUUCCCUUGCAAGUAGCCCAUCAAACUUGAAGAGCUAAAAGAAGUUCGUUUUUGCUGCUCUUCAUAGUUCCGACCCAUCAUCAUUGCUUAUUGAAACUUGUCCUUUUUUAUUGGUAUUUUUUGUCUUGGUUUCAAAAAUCAUUGCUUUAGUUUAGGGGUAUCUUUGUGUAAUUGUUCAUUCAUUUCUUAAGUUUUUUGUUUUUCGAUUUCUUCAAGGUCGAUCGUGUGCUAUACUACUACUUAGUUCACAAAGAUCUUAGCUUGGAUUCUGCGAUUGUUUUGCUUUCGGAUAUAAGUGAGAGAAAACAUUCUGUUUCUUUUUUUAAUCAUUUCAGGUGAGAUUCGGUACCUGAAACUCUCCAAACUGGGUUUUGACAUUUUGGGUUUCAAUUAUCCAAAAAUUUGACUUAUCUAGCAAGAUUUCACUUAUAAAUUUGACAAUUUGACUUUUGGGCUUUACAUUUAUUUUCAUUGGGAUCUAGCUUGUGUUGCCAAGUGAAUCUAAGCUUUGGGUUCUCAGAAUCUUAACCAAAAAUUUUGAGCCUUUUCUUCUACCCUGUUUCAGAAAGCUCCAAAUCGACCUGAUUUAGCUCAAUUUUGUAGAUUUUAGAGUAUCCUUCACCUGGGUUUGCGAUCUAGUUAGCUGGAUUGCUGUUGCUUUUCUUUGAUUUGUAAUUUCCUACCAUCCAAUUAAAGUUAAAAAUAAAAAAUAAAAUUCUGCAGCUGAUAAUCUGGCCAGUAGAAACACUCUUUUUUGAUAGCAAACAUAUAUACAUAUAAAGCUUAGUUUUACUUCUUAUCGAUUCUUGCUGUGCAAUUGGCAAUGAUGGGAGGAAAAAUUAGCAAGAAAACUUCUAGUGAUGCCCCACCACCACCGCCACCACCACCACCGCCGCCACCACCACCACCAGCAGAAGCAGCAGCACCAGCACAACUCCUCCAAAUAAAUGCUGAUGCCACUUUCAAUGUUGAUCUUAGCUCUUAUGAGGCGGCGUGUAUGCUUGAUCCAACCUUGCAGUCCUUUGAUGCUACUAUCCAAGCGCACACAAACAGGGUCAUCAGCUCGCUUGCCACUGGGGUCGAGGUACGGUCCCUAUCUUUUGAUGCACUCAGAGAAGUCACAAAUAGUCUGCUAGAAAUGAACCAGGACGUGGUUAAAGUCAUUCUAGACUGUCAGAAAGAUGUGUGGAAAAAUCGAGAAAUGUUCUCAUUGGUGGAGAUUUACUUUGACAACAGUCAAAAAACAUUGGAGUUCUGUACAACCCUUGAGAACUGCCUGAAGCGCACACGUGAUAACCAGUUGAUGAUGAUUCAACUUGCGGUUAAUCAUUUUGAGGAAGAAGUAGGAGAUGGGGUUGAUGGGGGGAAGUAUGUGAAGACAUUGCAAGAGUUAAGGAAAUUUAAGGCGGCCGGGGACCCUUUUACAGAAGAGUUUUUUGAGCUGUUUCAAUCGGUUUUUAAGCAGCAUCUUUCAAUGCUUUCCAAGCUGAAGCAGAGGAAGGAAACGUUAGAUAAGAAAUUGAAAUCUGUGAAGACGUGGAGCAGAGUGUCGAAUGUCAUUUUUGUUGCUGCCUUUGCGUCUGUGUUGAUAUUCUCUGUGGUGGCAGCGGCCAUGGCUGCUCCGCCUGUUGUAACAGCUUUGGCAGCUGCAUUGGCUGUUCCAAUGGGCCCAGUGGGAAAAUGGUGUAACUCACUUUGGAAGCGCUAUGAGACUGCACUGAAAGGACAAAGGGAGGUAAUCAGCACAAUGCAAUUUGACACUCUUUUUACAAUGAGGGACUUGGAAAGCAUUCGAGUACUUGUCAACAAAGUGGAAAUUAAGGUUGAGUCACUGAUGCAGACUGCUGAUUUUGCUCUUAGAGAAGAGGAGGUGGUGAAGCUUGCAAUGGAUGAGAUCAAAAAGAAGCUGGAAGAGUUUAUGGAUGGCAUUCAGAAGUUAAGUCAGCAUGGUGAUAAGUGUAGCCAGGAAAUAACAAGGGCAAGGACGGUGCUUUUGCAGAAAAUAAUGAAAACUCCAAACAACUGAAGAACACAUUGCUGCUUGCAUGAUUAAACCUAAAGACCCAAUCGCGCUAAUAUUCAAAAAUUAGAAGUAAGGUUAAUUUCCUUUCAUGUCUCCACAUGGGGUUUAAAGACAUAUGCUUGAUGAAUUAUUUGGUGGAUUCUAGACUUCUUGGUGCAAGUUGUAACUGGUUCUCCAACUUGCCUGUUUCUUUUGUGAUUAAAUGACAAAGCUAGAGGUUGAUGGUUAAGGGACCACAGAGAUAGAGAGACUGCUGGGAUUUAAAGUGAUGAAUGUCACUGGCAAUUUUGGUUGAUUAUUCUCUGAUUAGGCCUUUUUUUGGUCCAUUUGAAAUCUAUUAUACAUUUAUACUUACAAGCUACAUAAUAGGAGAUAAUCCUCCAUUCCUUAAACCUCUCUCCCCAUGAUGUAGGUGGAAUUUGAUCUCAAGUCCCUUGUUUGAUGACAACAUACUUUAUCAAUUAAGCCAAUUGACACCUAUAAUUGUCCUUUUUA